RNAcentral lists this ribosomal RNA (508 nucleotides) under Bacillus sp. BS36. RNAcentral's name for it is "bacterial SSU rRNA". It matches the Rfam family "Bacterial small subunit ribosomal RNA", at positions 35 to 524 of the family's 1533-position model. The record is from RNAcentral. Lineage: Bacteria; Bacillati; Bacillota; Bacilli; Caryophanales; Bacillaceae.
GCCUGCGGGUUCCACAACCUUGCAAGUUCGAGCGGACAGAUGGGGAAGCUUGCUCCCUGAUGUUAGCGGCGGACGGGUGAGUAACACGUGGGUAACCUGCCUGUAAGACUGGGAUAACUCCGGGAAACCGGGGCUAAUACCGGAUGGUUGUUUGAACCGCAUGGUUCAAACAUAAAAGGUGGCUUCGGCUACCACUUACAGAUGGACCCGCGGCGCAUUAGCUAGUUGGUGAGGUAACGGCUCACCAAGGCAACGAUGCGUAGCCGACCUGAGAGGGUGAUCGGCCACACUGGGACUGAGACACGGCCCAGACUCCUACGGGAGGCAGCAGUAGGGAAUCUUCCGCAAUGGACGAAAGUCUGACGGAGCAACGCCGCGUGAGUGAUGAAGGUUUUCGGAUCGUAAAGCUCUGUUGUUAGGGAAGAACAAGUACCGUUCGAAUAGGGCGGUACCUUGACGGUACCUAACCAGAAAGCCACGGCUAACUACGUGCAAAUCCCCGGGUAAA